ACACCUCAACUCUCAUGGUUUCCCCCAUGAUGAGCUUGGACUGUGGAGGUUUUGUUGGCCCGUGUGGUCGGCUCCUCUCAAAUGGAUCAGCUUACCGGUGUUUGGUGGCGUUGCGGGUGUGAUAACUAUCUGCGCUCGUAGUCGUCUCCAAGUAACCUCCAGUGAUGGGGGUUCGCUGGAGCUUACAGACGUCUCUCCCCAGUGAAGACAGCAUUCAAAC
RNAcentral lists this unclassified non-coding RNA (220 nucleotides) under uncultured Thelephoraceae. RNAcentral describes it as "sequence contains ITS2". Lineage: Eukaryota; Fungi; Basidiomycota; Agaricomycetes; Thelephorales; Thelephoraceae. The record is from RNAcentral.